UCCGUUGUAGUCUAGUUGGUCAGGAUAUUCGGCUCUCACCCGAAAGACCCGGGUUCGAGUCCCGGCAACGGAA
This 73-nucleotide transfer RNA is filed under the name Dionaea muscipula. Its description in RNAcentral is "tRNA-Glu (CTC) (tRNA-Glu-CTC-6-1)". It matches the Rfam family "tRNA". From Rfam's summary of the family: Transfer RNA (tRNA) molecules are approximately 80 nucleotides in length. Their secondary structure includes four short double-helical elements and three loops (D, anti-codon, and T loops). Lineage: Eukaryota; Viridiplantae; Streptophyta; Magnoliopsida; Caryophyllales; Droseraceae. The record is from RNAcentral. RNAcentral also lists the same sequence under 7 other names.